GGCCCAAUUUCGAAGUAGAGUAGCUUAGAAGGAUCAUUUGAGCCUACUAAACUACUCUACUUCGAGUUUGUGCCC
Molecule: non-coding RNA, 75 nt
Organism: Haemonchus contortus (barber pole worm)
Lineage: Eukaryota; Metazoa; Nematoda; Chromadorea; Rhabditida; Trichostrongylidae
Source: Rfam